This 584-nucleotide ribosomal RNA is filed under the name Belostoma plebejum. RNAcentral's name for it is "bacterial SSU rRNA". It matches the Rfam family "Eukaryotic small subunit ribosomal RNA", at positions 21 to 579 of the family's 1831-position model. The record is from RNAcentral. Lineage: Eukaryota; Metazoa; Arthropoda; Insecta; Hemiptera; Belostomatidae.
UUGUAGUCAUAUGCUUGUCUCAAAGCUUAAGCCAUGCAAGUGUCAGUACAAACCGCACCAAGGUGAAACCGCAAACGGCUCAUUAAAUCAGUUUUAGUUCACUUGAGCAAUAACGUCCAAGUUUUUGGAUAACUGUGGCAAUUCUAGAGCUAAUACAUGCAACCGAGUCCCGACCAGUAAUGGGAAGGACGCUUUUAUUAGAUCAAAAUCAAUCGGGGCCGGCCACCGCGCCGCCCCGUCUGACUUGAUGACUCUGAAUAACACAGACCUGAUCGCACGGCCUCGCGCCGGCGACCCAUCUUUCAAAUGCCUGACUUAUCAACUGUCGAUGGUAGGCUCUAGGUCUACCAUGGUUGUAACGGGUGACGGGGAAUCAGGGUUCGAUUCCGGAGAGGGAGCCUGAGAAACGGCUACCACAUCCAAGGAAGGCAGCAGGCACGCAAAUUACCCACUCCCGGCACGGGGAGGUAGUGACAAAAAAUAACGAUACGGGACUCAUCCGAGGCCCCGUAAUCGGAAUGAGCACACUCUAAAUCAUUUAACAAGUACCUAUUGGAGGGCAAGUCUGGUGCCAGCAGCCGCGA